RNAcentral lists this long non-coding RNA (206 nucleotides) under Lathyrus oleraceus (garden pea). RNAcentral describes it as "Pisum sativum (pea) long non-coding RNA (PSAT_LNC030507)". Lineage: Eukaryota; Viridiplantae; Streptophyta; Magnoliopsida; Fabales; Fabaceae. The record is from RNAcentral.
UCACUACUACAAAUAAUACAUUUCAUGACGAAACUUUCAUCUCACCCGACAAAAAACCGAGGUGUAAACCAUAGACGCGUCACAUUUUAAUGUUUUUUUUAAAAUACCAUAUAUUCCCUCGUUUGAGCUGGAAACCGAUGGGUAAAGUAUUUAGACGACAUGCUUUUAAAUCCCAACAACUAUAUUUUAGCGCCUUUUAGUUUUUU